UGGGAUUGAAAUGUAUAGGCUGGCAACUGGAAACAGAUGCUGUUCACUUCGGUGACUUAUAUGUAGGUGCUGCAUGGUU
RNAcentral lists this ribosomal RNA (79 nucleotides) under uncultured Porphyromonas sp. RNAcentral describes it as "partial 16S ribosomal RNA". The record is from RNAcentral. Lineage: Bacteria; Pseudomonadati; Bacteroidota; Bacteroidia; Bacteroidales; Porphyromonadaceae.